AGUGAACGCUGGCGGCGUGCCUAAUACAUGCAAGUCGAACGGAGAUUAAGUAGCUUGCUAUUUAAUCUUAGUGGCGCACGGGUGAGUAAUAUAUAGCUAAUCUGCCCUACACUAGAGGACAACAGUUGGAAACGACUGCUAAUACUCUAUACUCCUCCUUUACAUAAGUUAAGUCGGGAAAGUUUUUCGGUGCAGGAUGAGGCUAUAUCGUAUCAGCUAGUUGGUGAGGUAAUGGCUCACCAAGGCUAUGACGCGUAACUGGUCUGAGAGGAUGAUCAGUCACAUUGGAACUGAGACACGGUCCAAACUCCUACGGGAGGCAGCAGUAGGGAAUAUUGCUCAAUGGGGAAACCCUGAAGCAGCAACGCCGCGUGGAGGAUGACACUUUUCGGAGCGUAAACUCCUUUUCUUGGGAAAGAAUUAUGACGGUACCCAAGGAAUAAGCACCGGCUAACUCCGUGCCAGCAGCCGCGGUAAUACGGAGGGUGCAAGCGUUACUYGGAGUCACUGGGCGUAAAGGACGCGUAGGCGGAUUAUCAAGUCUCUUGUGAAAUCUAACGGCUUAACCGUUAAACUGCUUGGGAAACUGAUAAUCUAGAGUAAGGGAGAGGCAGAUGGAAUUCUUGGUGUAGGGGUAAAAUCCGUAGAGAUCAAGAAGAAUACCCAUUGCGAAAGCGAUCUGCUGGAACUUAACUGACGCUAAUGCGUGAAAGCGUGGGGAGCAAACAGGAUUAGAUACCCUGGUAGUCCACGCCCUAAACGAUGUAUACUAGUUGUUGCUUCGCUAGUCGAGGCAGUAAUGCACCUAACGGAUUAAGUAUACCGCCUGGGGGAGUACGGUCGCAAGAUUAAAACUCAAAGGAAUAGACGGGGACCCGCACAAGCGGUGGAGCAUGUGGUUUAAUUCGAAGAUACGCGAAGAACCUUACCCGGACUUGAUAUCUAACAAAUCAUCCAGARAUGGAAGAGUGUCUGCUUGCAGAAAUGUUAAGACAGGUGCUGCACGGCUGUCGUCAGCUCGUGUCGUGAGAUGUUGGGUUAAGUCCCGCAACGAGCGCAACCCACGUAUUUAGUUGCUAACGGUUAGGCCGAGCACUCUAAAUAGACUGCCUUCGUAAGGAGGAGGAAGGUGUGGACGACGUCAAGUCAUCAUGGCCCUUAUGUCCGGGGCGACACACGUGCUACAAUGGCGUAUACAAUAAGACGCAAUAUCGCGAGAUGGAGCAAAUCUAUAAAAUACGUCCCAGUUCGGAUUGGAGUCUGCAACUCGACUCCAUGAAGCCGGAAUCGCUAGUAAUCGUAGAUCAGCCAUGCUACGGUGAAUACGUUCCCGGGUCUUGUACUCACCGCCCGUCACACCAUGGGAGUUGAUUUCACUCGAAGCCCAAAUACCAAACCGGUUAUGGUCCACAGUGGAAUCAGCGACUGGGGUG
Molecule: ribosomal RNA, 1433 nt
Filed under: Campylobacter rectus
Lineage: Bacteria; Pseudomonadati; Campylobacterota; Epsilonproteobacteria; Campylobacterales; Campylobacteraceae
Description: bacterial SSU rRNA
Source: RNAcentral